This 1341-nucleotide ribosomal RNA is filed under the name uncultured bacterium. RNAcentral's name for it is "bacterial SSU rRNA". It matches the Rfam family "Bacterial small subunit ribosomal RNA", at positions 28 to 1381 of the family's 1533-position model. The record is from RNAcentral.
GAUGAACGCUGGCGGCGUGCUUAACACAUGCAAGUCGAACGAUGAACCCUAGCUUGCUGGGGGGAUUAGUGGCGAACGGGUGAGUAACACGUGAGUAACCUGCCCUUGACUCUGGGAUAAGCCUGGGAAACUGGGUCUAAUACUGGAUAUGACCUUUCAUCGCAUGGUGGUCGGUGGAAAGUUUUGUGGUUUUGGAUGGACUCGCGGCCUAUCAGCUUGUUGGUGGGGUAAUGGCCUACCAAGGCGACGACGGGUAGCCGGCCUGAGAGGGUGGACGGCCACACUGGGACUGAGACACGGCCCAGACUCCUACGGGAGGCAGCAGUGGGGAAUAUUGCACAAUGGGCGAAAGCCUGAUGCAGCGACGCCGCGUGGGGGAUGAAGGCCUUCGGGUUGUAAACCUCUUUCAGUAGGGAAGAAGCGAAAGUGACGGUACCUGCAGAAGAAGCGCCGGCUAACUACGUGCCAGCAGCCGCGGUAAUACGUAGGGCGCAAGCGUUAUCCGGAAUUAUUGGGCGUAAAGAGCUCGUAGGCGGUUUGUCGCGUCUGCCGUGAAAGUCCGGGGCUUAACUCCGGAUCUGCGGUGGGUACGGGCAGACUAGAGUGAUGUAGGGGAGACUGGAAUUCCUGGUGUAGCGGUGAAAUGCGCAGAUAUCAGGAGGAACACCGAUGGCGAAGGCAGGUCUCUGGGCAUUAACUGACGCUGAGGAGCGAAAGCAUGGGGAGCGAACAGGAUUAGAUACCCUGGUAGUCCAUGCCGUAAACGUUGGGCACUAGGUGUGGGGGACAUUCCACGUUUUCCGCGCCGUAGCUAACGCAUUAAGUGCCCCGCCUGGGGAGUACGGCCGCAAGGCUAAAACUCAAAGGAAUUGACGGGGGCCCGCACAAGCGGCGGAGCAUGCGGAUUAAUUCGAUGCAACGCGAAGAACCUUACCAAGGCUUGACAUGAACCGGAACAGCGCAGAGAUGUGUUGGCCACUUGUGGCCGGUUUACAGGUGGUGCAUGGUUGUCGUCAGCUCGUGUCGUGAGAUGUUGGGUUAAGUCCCGCAACGAGCGCAACCCUCGUUCCAUGUUGCCAGCGGGUUAUGCCGGGGACUCAUGGGAGACUGCCGGGGUCAACUCGGAGGAAGGUGGGGACGACGUCAAAUCAUCAUGCCCCUUAUGUCUUGGGCUUCACGCAUGCUACAAUGGCCGGUACAAAGGGUUGCGAUACUGUGAGGUGGAGCUAAUCCCAAAAAGCCGGUCUCAGUUCGGAUUGAGGUCUGCAACCCGACCUCAUGAAGUCGGAGUCGCUAGUAAUCGCAGAUCAGCAACGCUGCGGUGAAUACGUUCCCGGGCCU